UACGUAGGGUGCAAGCGUUAAUCGGAAUUACUGGGCGUAAAGCGUGCGCAGGCGGUUUUGUAAGUCUGUCGUGAAAGCCCCGGGCUCAACCUGGGAAUUGCGAUGGAGACUGCAAGGCUUGAAUCUGGCAGAGGGGGGUAGAAUUCCACGUGUAGCAGUGAAAUGCGUAGAGAUGUGGAGGAACACCGAUGGCGAAGGCAGCCCCCUGGGUCAAUAUUGACGCUCAUGCACGAAAGCGUGGGGAGCAAACAGG
Molecule: ribosomal RNA, 253 nt
Filed under: uncultured bacterium
Lineage: Bacteria
Description: partial 16S ribosomal RNA
Rfam family: Bacterial small subunit ribosomal RNA
Source: RNAcentral